CUUGGGGCUCCAUCCCAGCGCCCCAAGAUCAUGACCUGACCUGAACUCAGGCGCUUAAUCAACUGAGCCACCCAGAACCUUACUAUUUUAAAUUAUUUACAAUUUAGAUAAUGGAUUCAAAUAAUAAAAAUAACAGUUAACGGCCAGUGCUUAUGCUUGCUAGAGGUGUUUUCUCAUAGUAUCCCAUGAUUUUUUUUUUAACUAAAGAACAAUUAUUCAUUUUCUACCAAGACUUUAUCUUGAGGACAUAACUAAAUUGUCACCACCACCCCCCACCCCAACGUGAAGAAGGGUUAGUACAAUGAAUGUUAUAAAGCAGAUAUGAACAGUUUGAAGGACUGGAACCAACAUUAACUAACAAAAAACUUCCAUCUAAAUUAUCAUAAAAAUGUUUAAGUAAAAAAAAGGGGAGGAGCGGAAGGGGAUGAUGAGGACUUCAGAUUGAGCAAGAUCCUCGCAUUUCAUCUAAUACAUUCAAUCCUGGCUAGAAUAUUCCAAAUGGAAUGGAAACAAGAUUACUAUAAUACAAAACUUCCACUACAGCACGCUGUGCACACCUGUGUUCCAAGCCCCCCCGCCCCCCACACUCCCUGCUGCUUCCAGCUCCACUGUUUCCUGGCCUGUUGGGCCUGCCAACGAAGGAGCACGUAGAUCCUGACAACCUUGUGAAGGAGGUGCUAGGGGAUGAGGAAUCUGAAGCACAGAAGGAUUAGUUUAAGACCCUUCCCAAGACCUUCAGACCCCUAUCCUCUAUUUCCAGCUGGAUGGAGCCUUGUAUGACAGGUUGUAUUUUCCAAAGAUGGUUGCCACGAGAUCUCCUGCUCUACAUGCUCUUCUUAUAAGUCUAGGGAAAUAUGGAUGUGACCAGUGGCUCCUCCAACUCUCAAGUGGUAAGCAGACAACUGUGCCAUGUGUUCGGCAAACCCUGAAGUGUGGCAUUACCAUAGUAAUCAAGAGUCAGGGGCUUAACUAAUUGAGCCACCCAGGCGCCCCUGGAAUAAACUCUUUUAAUCCAUGGUCUCUUUCCCUGUU
RNAcentral lists this long non-coding RNA (1032 nucleotides) under Vulpes vulpes (red fox). Its description in RNAcentral is "lncRNA (ENSVVUG00000030156.1)". Lineage: Eukaryota; Metazoa; Chordata; Mammalia; Carnivora; Canidae. The record is from RNAcentral.